AUAAGACUGGGAUAACUUCGGGAAACCGGAGCUAAUACCGGAUAAUAUUUUGAACCGCAUGGUUCAAAAGUGAAAGACGGUCUUGCUGUCACUUAUAGAUGGAUCCGCGCUGCAUUAGCUAGUUGGUAAGGUAACGGCUUACCAAGGCAACGAUGCAUAGCCGACCUGAGAGGGUGAUCGGCCACACUGGAACUGAGACACGGUCCAGACUCCUACGGGAGGCAGCAGUAGGGAAUCUUCCGCAAUGGGCGAAAGCCUGACGGAGCAACGCCGCGUGAGUGAUGAAGGUCUUCGGAUCGUAAAACUCUGUUAUUAGGGAAGAACAUAUGUGUAAGUAACUGUGCACAUCUUGACGGUACCUAAUCAGAAAGCCACGGCUAACUACGUGCCAGCAGCCGCGGUAAUACGUAGGUGGCAAGCGUUAUCCGGAAUUAUUGGGCGUAAAGCGCGCGUAGGCGGUUUUUUAAGUCUGAUGUGAAAGCCCACGGCUCAACCGUGGAGGGUCAUUGGAAACUGGAAAACUUGAGUGCAGAAGAGGAAAGUGGAAUUCCAUGUGUAGCGGUGAAAUGCGCAGAGAUAUGGAGGAACACCAGUGGCGAAGGCGACUUUCUGGUCUGUAACUGACGCUGAUGUGCGAAAGCGUGGGGAUCAAACAGGAUUAGAUACCCUGGUAGUCCACGCCGUAAACGAUGAGUGCUAAGUGUUAGGGGGUUUCCGCCCCUUAGUGCUGCAGCUAACGCAUUAAGCACUCCGCCUGGGGAGUACGACCGCAAGGUUGAAACUCAAAGGAAUUGACGGGGACCCGCACAAGCGGUGGAGCAUGUGGUUUAAUUCGAAGCAACGCGAAGAACCUUACCAAAUCUUGACAUCCUUUGACAACUCUAGAGAUAGAGCCUUCCCCUUCGGGGGACAAAGUGACAGGUGGUGCAUGGUUGUCGUCAGCUCGUGUCGUGAGAUGUUGGGUUAAGUCCCGCAACGAGCGCAACCCUUAAGCUUAGUUGCCAUCAUUAAGUUGGGCACUCUAAGUUGACUGCCGGUGACAAACCGGAGGAAGGUGGGGAUGACGUCAAAUCAUCAUCCCUUAUGAUUUGGGCUACACACGUGCUACAAUGGACAAUACAAAGGGCAGCGAAACCGAGGUCAAGCAAAUCCCAUAAAGUUGUUCUCAGUUCGGAUUGUAGUCUGCAACUCGACCAUGAAGCUGGAAUCGCUAGUAAUCGUAGAUCAGCAUGCUACGGUGAAUACGUUCCCGUCUUGUACACACCG
Molecule: ribosomal RNA, 1266 nt
Filed under: Staphylococcus aureus
Lineage: Bacteria; Bacillati; Bacillota; Bacilli; Caryophanales; Staphylococcaceae
Description: bacterial SSU rRNA
Rfam family: Bacterial small subunit ribosomal RNA
Source: RNAcentral